UGACAUGCAGGAAAAGAACAGAUACAAUGGUGAAACUUUGUGAGGUUUUUGAAUCUUUGAGACUCAAAAUUAUUACAGCGAAUGUCA
RNAcentral lists this small RNA (87 nucleotides) under Salix viminalis (osier). The record is from RNAcentral. Lineage: Eukaryota; Viridiplantae; Streptophyta; Magnoliopsida; Malpighiales; Salicaceae.